UGGGGAAUUUUGGACAAUGGGGGCAACCCUGAUCCAGCCAUGCCGCGUGAGUGAAGAAGGCCUUCGGGUUGUAAAGCUCUUUCGCAGGGGAAGAAACAGCAAAGGCAAAUACCCUUUGUCACUGACGGUACCCUGAGAAGAAGCACCGGCCAACUACGUGCCAGCAGCCGCGGUAAUACGUAGGGUGCAAGCGUUAGUCGGAAUUACUGGGCGUAAAGCGUGCGCAGGCGGUUAUUUAAGUCAGGUGUGAAAGCCCCGGGCUCAACCCGGGAAUUGCGCUUGAAACUAGAUAGCUAGAGUUUAGCAGAGGGGGGUGGAAUUCCACGUGUAGCAGUGAAAUGCGUAGAGAUGUGGAGGAACACCGAUGGCGAAGGCAGCCCCCUGGGCUAAAACUGACGCUCAGGCACGAAAGCGUGGGGAGCAAACAG
RNAcentral lists this ribosomal RNA (428 nucleotides) under uncultured bacterium. RNAcentral's name for it is "bacterial SSU rRNA". It matches the Rfam family "Bacterial small subunit ribosomal RNA", at positions 355 to 775 of the family's 1533-position model. The record is from RNAcentral.